This 505-nucleotide ribosomal RNA is filed under the name uncultured bacterium. RNAcentral's name for it is "bacterial SSU rRNA". It matches the Rfam family "Bacterial small subunit ribosomal RNA", at positions 1 to 507 of the family's 1533-position model. The record is from RNAcentral.
CGAUACGAGUUUGAUCCUGGCUCAGGAUGAACGCUAGCGGCAGGCCUAACACAUGCAAGUCGAGGGGUAGAAUUAGCUUGCUAAUUUGAGACCGGCGCACGGGUGCGUAACGCGUAUGCAAUCUACCUUGUACAGGGGGAUAGCCCAGAGAAAUUUGGAUUAAUACUCCAUGGUAUAAUUGAAUCGCAUGGUUUGAUUAUUAAAGUUCCAACGGUACAAGAUGAGCAUGCGUCCCAUUAGCUAGUUGGUGUGGUAACGGCAUACCAAGGCGACGAUGGGUAGGGGUCCUGAGAGGGAGAUCCCCCACACUGGUACUGAGACACGGACCAGACUCCUACGGGAGGCAGCAGUGAGGAAUAUUGGUCAAUGGUCGGAAGACUGAACCAGCCAUGCCGCGUGCAGGAAGACGGUCCUAUGGAUUGUAAACUGCUUUUGUACGGGAAGAAACACUCCUUCGUGAAGGAGCUUGACGGUACCGUAAGAAUAAGGAUCGGCUAACUCCGUG